GAUGAACGCUGGCGGCGUGCCUAAUACAUGCGAGUCGAACGAACGGACGAGAAGCUUGCUUCUCUGAUGUGAGCGGCGGACGGGUGAGUAACACGUGGGUAACCUACCUUUAAGCGUGGGAUAACUACGGGAAACGAUAGCUAAUACCGGAUAAUAUUUUGUACCACAUGGUUUUAAAGUGAAAGACGGAAUUGCUCUCACAUAUAGAGGACUUCGCUCUGCAUUAGCUAGUUGUUAAGUUAUGGGCUUACCAAGGCAACGAUGCAUAGCCGACCUGAGAGGGUGAUCGGCCACACUGGAACUGAGACACGGUCCAGACUCCUACGGGAGGCAGCAGUAGGGAAUCUUCCGCAAUGGGCGAAAGCCUGACGGAGCAACGCCGCGUGAGUGAUGAAGGUCUUCGGAUCGUAAAACUCUGUUAUUAGGGAAGAACAUAUGUGUAAGUAACUGUGCACAUCUUGACGGUACCUAAUCAGAAAGCCACGGCUAACUACGUG
Molecule: ribosomal RNA, 497 nt
Filed under: uncultured bacterium
Lineage: Bacteria
Description: partial 16S ribosomal RNA
Rfam family: Bacterial small subunit ribosomal RNA
Source: RNAcentral